AAGUCGUAACAAGGUAACCGUAGGUGAACCUGCGGUUGGAUCAUUAUUAAAUGAUUUUUGUGGUGUGGGUCUUCGGAACUCCACCAUGAAUAACAACCUAUGUGAAAUGUAUCGUUUUUGGGUUAAGAAAGUGGGUCUUUGUCUAGUGGUGUUUUUCACUCUGUUCAGAUUCCUGCCCGACUAGCCCGCCUGUUUAACAACCCCUUAUAUUUUUGUCUGACUUUUGUAUUCUAUGAAUCAAAAACAACUUUUAACAACGGAUCUCUUGGCUCUC
This 274-nucleotide unclassified non-coding RNA is filed under the name fungal sp. RNAcentral's name for it is "partial internal transcribed spacer region". The stretch from base 1 to 46 matches the Rfam family "Eukaryotic small subunit ribosomal RNA", at positions 1786 to 1831 of the family's 1831-position model. The record is from RNAcentral. Lineage: Eukaryota; Fungi.